UGAUUUUUUAUUUUAAUCUAAAAUCUUUCUCAAGACAGCAAAAGGGAUGACGUUUUACACAUUGACAGAUUUGGCUUACUAAUUUUUGUUGUAGUAUAUUCUCAUUAUGUCAGAAUCUGAAGGCAGUGCUAGUGGAAUGUCUGUAAGUUUUAUAAUAUGAAACAGGUGUAACUUUUAAAAUAGUAGAAAGUCCGUAUCAGUAGUUUUUUUUACAUGAAUUUACAAGUUUUAUAUGAUCUUUACUUUUAGAAAAAAACUAUCAGGUUUUUUAAAACUGCAAGUAAACCUAUGGCUAUAGCUAUAAAUUAUUGCUUGAUAUGGCUGUGAUACUGACUAGUUAAUUCGUCUAUCCUUCAAAUCCGAC
RNAcentral lists this long non-coding RNA (364 nucleotides) under Mytilus galloprovincialis (Mediterranean mussel). Lineage: Eukaryota; Metazoa; Mollusca; Bivalvia; Mytilida; Mytilidae. The record is from RNAcentral.